This 22-nucleotide unclassified non-coding RNA is filed under the name Mus musculus (house mouse). Its description in RNAcentral is "oocyte_clustered_small_RNA666". The record is from RNAcentral. Lineage: Eukaryota; Metazoa; Chordata; Mammalia; Rodentia; Muridae.
UGAGGAAGCAGGCUGGAAGGAA